Molecule: long non-coding RNA, 1413 nt
Filed under: Heterocephalus glaber (naked mole-rat)
Lineage: Eukaryota; Metazoa; Chordata; Mammalia; Rodentia; Bathyergidae
Description: lncRNA (ENSHGLG00100040321.1)
Source: RNAcentral
GGACCAGGUGUUUAGAUUACUUGAAAUAUUUGGGGCUGCAUGCUUUUUAAGCCAGAAUAUUCUAAACUACAAUGUGUGUCCAUUUCUCUUCUGUAGUGUACUUUAAUUUGAAAUACAGAUCUCCCUUAUCUUGUUAGUACAGGUGAGAAAUGGAAGACACCCUCAUAAACUGCUGUUAAUUUUAGGUGCAUGGGGUUUGAUGUUGGAGCUUUAAUGAAAUGCAUAAACUAAUUUUCAGUCCCCAAUUUUUAUUUCAUAGAAAUUUCUUACUGGGUAUAUCAUCAAGAAACAUCAUAAAUAUAGAAAGUCUGAAAUAUGAAAUUUUAUGCCAAAAUUUUUGACAGUCUGAUGAAUUUAAGCUUUCAAUUUAUAAUUUACUGUGCUAGGGUUAAUUUCUGUUCAUAUCUGAGAUUGUAUGGACAGCCUUUCAUAAUGGAAUCCCUUUUCUGGUUUUGUAAUUUGAACAUAUAUUUGCCUUUUCAUUUUUGAAGUGCUUGGCCUAAUUUUUUUUGUAAUUGCAUGAAAUAAGCAUUUGUUUGAAACAAUAUUCUUGCAAAACUGUUCUCUAUGAAUUGUAUGGAGAAUUUAAAUCAUAGCCAAAUGUAUUACUACUACUCUAUAAAAAUUUCAGAUUUCCAGAAAAGGUUUCUUUAUAACGUUAUGGAGAAAUCAAAUUGAGUAUUUUUAGUGGUCAAAUGAAAGAUAAUUUAACAAAAGGACUAAAAAUGAUGCCCAAAUAGCUUCUUACUCUGUAACUCAUUCUAUUAGAGCAAUUAACCAGGAGUCUUCCUGUUGUAAAAUACCAGACUGGCAGUCUUGUAUAUCCUUUCUUGCUAACGAAUACCCAGUUUCCAAGCUCUUACUUGCUAGCGCUUUUGUCUUAAUGUGUUCAUUCCUAAAUGCUCAUUUAAAAAAAAAGAUGUGUAAAAUUGUUAAAUACUGAUUAUAUGUAAAUAACUUAUUUUUCCACAUCCUAAGACAUUUCCAGCCAUUUUGAGUUUUUGUUUAAUCUCAAGGUUCCCUGCAACCCCAAAGUAGUACUUCCCUUAUGACUACUGAAGAGUCUAAAACGCCGGCAAUGCCAUGUAUUUCAGCACAACUAAAUCUAGGAUACGGUUAUUUUCAUUGCAGUACUAGAUAGUUUCAGUUAAAUUACAGCACAUUUGUCCUCUUUCGGUUUGCUUGCUUGUAACAGUGCUCUGUGAACUUGUCUUCCAGCACAUGGCAAAAAGAACUAAUUCAAAAGCAUAAUCAUAUACUUUGCUUAUUAAUGAAAAGCUGUUUCAAACGAAAACCAAUUUGUAGUAGUUAUAAAUGGUCAGUUUUAAAAACUAUUUUUGCAUUCUCAUAAAAAUGUUUUUUAGGUCAGCUUGACAAUCAUCAGCUUUUGAAAUGUGAGUUCCUGUAUCCGAG